CCACAGGAGAAAUUUCCACCUCGGGGGCCUUCACGGGUCACUCUGCGCUCUGCGACCUCCUCCUUCAAUCCUCUGCCCCUCCUCUUUCUAACUACACUUUAGUCACUUUGAAGGGGCUUGGAGGCACAACAGGAAGUCAUUCUACUGUGAGAGUCCGGCUCAAGUCACUUGCCAAGCCACCGUGAAAUCCCAUGUUUUUAGGGGAUUCUACGCUUUCCAUGCUUUCCCACCCAAAAAUCUGUAGCACUGAUUCCUGUCGCGGUGCUGAGGCAGGAGAGGGUCAGACUAGGUCAGAAGCACUUCCUCUUCUGUAUGCACCCAUUGCCCCUUCCUUUGACACACAACUUCAGAGCUGGGAAGAACUUUGGAAAUUACCUCCUCCAGUCCUCUUCUCUAACAGCCCAGGAAAAUGAGCAUAGGAAAACUAACUUUCUGAAUAUUGCCUAGUUAAGAGACCUGUGCUCUGCUAGACCUUUCUCAGCAGGGCAGUCUGCCCUUAGUGUGGUAGGAAAAACCAGGAGGGCAGUAGUCAUAAUGCAGGCAGGAGCUCAUUGCCAUUUUGAAUGGGCAUGGACUGCUCUAGUAGGACACCAAGUCUAGCCAAAGUUGCCCACGGAAACCACCCACCACUGCUUGCUUUGCCUGAAAGAACACAAGGGCUGGGAGACAGCUGCCUCCGAUUUUACUUCUGGCCUUAGAAAGGUUCCAGUUAAUUUCACUUAACAUAGUUGUGCAGGCUCUUCCAGGAAAAUUUUGGCUUUUUCUUUGUAGAAUCCUCAGUCCUUCAGAAAUAUUAGAUUUCUAAACAGAUGAUUCUGCAUAUACAUCACCCUCUUUUUUUGUUAUUUAAUUCCUAUUAUAAAACACAAGGGCUGCUACUGGUCUUACGUUUAAUUUAGCACAUUUUAUUUUAUUAGAUUUCUAUGGCUUCCUGUUACAGGUGUUUGUGUGAGAUUCUGUGGGGAGGUCCGGGUUGACUUUAAAGAACUCAUUGGGUUAGUUGGCUGAGAACCACUGGCCUUUGUUGGCUGCCAAGAAGACGCAUGGGAGGACCAUUUGAAAGCGCCUACUUCUCCAAGGUACACCAAACAAACUUGAUUUCUAGAAACAAAGGUGAAAUAUCUCUACAGUCAAAUGCAUCUGUUAUUCGUCUGCAAACCUCUCAGCCCUUUGCUUGACAAAUGUUUGCUGUUACUUCGUUUCUUCUCUCACUCUGUCUCUCUUAAAGAAGAUAUAAAUCAAACUGCCUGGGUAACCUUGGCCUUACAAAGCUUCUCAAUGAUUUCCAGCAAGACAACAGUCAAGAAGUUUCUCUGAAGAUAGUCUAAACAAUUUCAGAUUAAAAGAACUAAAAAUACUUUAAAGCUACUCAAAUGUUAAUCUUAGCACAAGUUUUAUUGUUGUGGCUCUUCAUAUCUCAUCAAACAUUCAAAGAGUAA
Long non-coding RNA from Cebus imitator (Panamanian white-faced capuchin), 1439 nucleotides. RefSeq lists it as uncharacterized. The record is from RefSeq and is a predicted model, not a curated record. The transcript is spliced from 2 exons. Lineage: Eukaryota; Metazoa; Chordata; Mammalia; Primates; Cebidae.